Molecule: ribosomal RNA, 615 nt
Filed under: Triticum aestivum (bread wheat)
Lineage: Eukaryota; Viridiplantae; Streptophyta; Magnoliopsida; Poales; Poaceae
Description: partial small subunit ribosomal RNA
Source: RNAcentral
AUGGCUGUCGAUGCGUCGGUGUGGCCAUUUGAUUCGUUAUCGGAGCCUGCAUCGCUAUUGUGCUGCGCAUGUGGUUCUUCUGAGCAUUCCGAUGGUGGCCCUUCUUACGCAUUGACUUUGAUGAUGUCUUGCUCUUAUCUAAUACCCAGUAGCCACAUGAUGCAUUUGCUGAGGGCUGAUGCCUCUGGACGCACCAAAAAGCAAGAGACAUCCCAAGCACCUAGCUAUUUCUUGCCCUCUUCUCUGCACACACUCAUGGCCGCUGUUAUCUUGUCCAACACCCGGGUUAUGCCCAUCAGUUAUAACAAGACCAUCAUGAGCAACUUGUCCUUGCACCGUGCAGGCCCAGGUCCGGUGUUCGCCCGUGGACAAGGCAGCCACAUUCUUGCCGGAAACUCCAUAUCUACCAUCAUGAUAACGUUCGAGGAUCCAAGGUACAAGGGCUCCAGCCUUGCUGUUAUGGGCAACAUCUUGGAUAAUGGCCAGUGGGCUAUUGUUGGAGGGACUGGGUUAUUUAAGUAUGCAACUGGGUUCAUUGACUUGAUUCCUGUUCAACAGUCGAGCCCCAAGAACAUUUCAAACAUCACCAUCGAAGUAUGCAAUCCAAACUAUUGA